This 465-nucleotide long non-coding RNA is filed under the name Oryza sativa Indica Group (long-grained rice). RNAcentral's name for it is "lncRNA OsPr106_09g0003270". Lineage: Eukaryota; Viridiplantae; Streptophyta; Magnoliopsida; Poales; Poaceae. The record is from RNAcentral.
GGGAGAAGGGCGGUGACGGGCAGGGAGAAGGGCGGGGGACGGCGGCAAGCCCUUCUCAGCAUCGCUUGUGGUGGCCGCAGUGGGACCUGCAAGCGCUGGGCAGGCCGCCUCGAGGACCCAGAACUGGCCGAGUCGAGGUUGCCCCACGCUAAAGGGAGUGGGAAGGGCAAGCAGGGCAGCGGUAGGCGGCUUCUAGGGUUUUGGAGGCGGCGAAGGCGAGAUGGUGUCGGAGAGAGUGAAGGGGACGGUGAAGUGGUUCGACGCUACCGCGGCUAUGGAGGCGACUGCAGCAACGGCGGGGGAGGAGGCGGCCGUGUGUGCUACAUGUGUGGUGAGGGCCACAAGGCCAAGGACUGCUCCCAGGACGGCGACGACGGCAUGGGAGGUGUACAACGGACGAUGGCCUCAUCAGACAUGGCCUACCUCGACGGGCAGCGGCGGCAGCGGCGAGGUCAUUUCCUCUAG